GACGAACGCUGGCGGCGUGCUUAACACAUGCAAGUCGAACGGAAAGGCUCCAGCUUGCUGGAGUACUCGAGUGGCGAACGGGUGAGUAACACGUGGGUAAUCUGCCCUGCACUCUGGGAUAAGCCUGGGAAACUGGGUCUAAUACUGGAUAUGACCUUUCUCCUUAUGGGGUUUGGUGGAAAGUUUUGCGGUUUAGGAUGAGCCCGCGGCCUAUCAGCUUGUUGGUGGGGUGAUGGCCUACCAAGGCGACGACGGGUAGCCGGCCUGAGAGGGUGAUCGGCCACAUUGGGACUGAGGUACGGCCCAGACUGCUACGGGAGGCAGCAGUGGGGAGUAUUGCACAAUGGGCGGAAGCCUGAUGCGACGACGCCGCGUGAGGGAUGACGGCCUUCGGGUUAUAAACCUCUUUCAGCGGGGACGAGGCGUAAGUGACGGUACCUGCAGAAGAAGCACCGGCUAACUAUGUG
Molecule: ribosomal RNA, 467 nt
Filed under: uncultured bacterium
Lineage: Bacteria
Description: partial 16S ribosomal RNA
Rfam family: Bacterial small subunit ribosomal RNA
Source: RNAcentral